This is a long non-coding RNA of Gossypium raimondii (Peruvian cotton), 651 nucleotides long. RefSeq lists it as uncharacterized. The transcript has 3 exons. NCBI's taxonomy places the organism in Eukaryota, Viridiplantae, Streptophyta, Magnoliopsida, Malvales, Malvaceae. The record is from RefSeq and is a predicted model, not a curated record.
CUUAAAAUUUCUCUAUAAAAAAAGUGCUUCUCUCUAGAUGGAGAAGCUAAAAAAUUCUCCUUUUCUUCUGCUGUAACUGCUUUUGGAUAAAAAUUGACCAAAUACCCUUGUCUUCUCCCCCAAACGUUUUUCCCCUCUACUGGUUCCCUAAAUGUUCUUUCCCCUCUGCUGGUGAAAUUGGAGCUUUAUACCCGAUUUCUUUCCCCAUUUUCGGCUUUCAAAGCUCUAUUUUUUGUUCUUUGUUCCUCUUCCGCAGCAGCUUAUUCUCAAUCAACCUAUUCUGGAAUUCCUUGGUUCUUGGACUUGACAAAGUAAAUCCCAGAUGAGUACUUCGGCGGUUGAAGUUAGUGGUGAAACGGUGAAAGCAAUGUGGGAUAAGAGAUUGACAAAAAUAUUUUAUGAUAUUUGUAUUAAAGAGAUAUUGAAAGGCAAUAGGCCUGGUACUCAUUUUACAAAAGAUGGAUGGUUGAAAAUAAUGACCAACUUUGAGAAAGAAACGGGAAAGGGUUUUUCACAAAGACAACUUAAAAAUAGGUGGGAUGCCCUAAAAAAAGAAUGGAAAGCUUGGAAGAAACUUAAAGGCGAAGAUAUUGGUCUAGGGUGGAAUCCUAUAAAAAGAACUGUUGAUGCAUCGGAUGAUUGGUGGGAGAG